UUGUAGCCCAGGCUAGCUUGGACUCAUUGUGUAACUGAAGCUGACCUUCAACCCCUGCUCCUGAUUCCUUUGUUCCUGAGGGCUGGAAUUAUUGGAAGUGGGCAAACACCUCCCCGAUCCUCCGCCACUGCCGGAACAUUCCGUUCAGCAGCACAAGGACAAGCAACCAGGAACGGAAGCCUCAGAAAUGGGAACAAAGUGGAAUAUGGCUGAAGCAUCAUGACAAAAGGGUCUGACUCCAGCUUGAAUCAGCACAAAACUGCAACGGUGCUUAGGGGCACUCAGUUUGAUCUACUGUCAUAAGCUUUCCUGUAUUACAGCCUAAAAGCAGGCUGGGCCUGCUCCACACACCUGGGAAUGGAAUUGUUUGCCUUUAUACCAAUAAAAUUCAGGAAGACGCCAAGACUGUACAUGGUUUAUGCCCAGACAGAUGCUGAAGAGCUUGUGCUGAGACAUCUAAAGUCCUCACUAGAUUGCCUAAGACAAAAUCAAGCAUUCCAGUGGGGCUGCCGUGGCUCCGUGUGGGCUAAGAUGGGUCUGAGAUGGAACCAAAUGUCCUUUCCCUGUGGAGAAACGUGAAGGUGCUGAAGGCACAAGCCAGCGUCAGAAAUCUAAAUAAGCUAAACCAGCAACACUCGAAAGAAGCUAAGUAACAAAAACUGGAGUCUUGUUCUGUGCAGAACAAGGCCAGCAGGAUGGCUCUGUGAGACCGGCAACCUGAGUUUCACCCCUGGAGCCCACUCCACAAAGGGAUCACCUGCUGUAUACAUGCUAUGGCACAGGCAUCUCUUCCGUCACGCA
This is a long non-coding RNA of Peromyscus maniculatus bairdii (prairie deer mouse), 801 nucleotides long. RefSeq lists it as uncharacterized. The record is from RefSeq and is a predicted model, not a curated record. Lineage: Eukaryota; Metazoa; Chordata; Mammalia; Rodentia; Cricetidae.